Molecule: long non-coding RNA, 714 nt
Organism: Melospiza melodia melodia
Lineage: Eukaryota; Metazoa; Chordata; Aves; Passeriformes; Passerellidae
Exons: 4
Source: RefSeq, a predicted model, not a curated record
AACCAAAGAUCCUACAGGAUCCAUGAAAUUAUCCAGGAUUAAAGCGAAUUGUGUCACAAAGGAAACCCUUUGGUGCCCUGCUGGAGUUUGCUCAGGUGCUUGGGAGCAGAAGGCAGCAGCCUGGGCACAGCAGGGCUCACACAACGGGCACCCUCUCGUGGCUUUGUCCUGUCACAGGGCUGAUUCAUCCACCUUGAAAAGCCACUUCAAGGUGCAGGUUUGGACCUCUUCUUGGGACAAUCUUUGAUUUUCCUGAUGGUCUCCAGGACUUUGCAGGAUCUCUGGAGGACGUGAUUGUGCUCUGGAAGGAUCAGUGGGGGCCACACUGAAGUGACCAUGAAAGUAACAGUGACAGUGGAGAUGACUCAGUGUGACAAAUCUGCUCCUGAACUACCCCAAAAAUCUGCAUUUUGGGAGCCUCCUCUCUUGCUGGGCACCAUUAACUGCUGCACUCUGGAACUGCAGAAUUGGACAGAAAUUAAAAUUUUCCCUUUUUUCCUGCCUCUGAAUGAUACUGAGCAGCUGCUCUUCAUUCUCUCCACCCUGAGGCCAGAGCUGCUCUUCCUUCUCAUUCAGCUUCUCAAGGCAAGGCAUCACUUUCAUAUUCCUGCACUUCAUGUCUGAUUUUUCCAGAAUGAGCAAAAAAAUACAGGUUUUAACAGCACUCUGGUGAGUUACAGAGUAUUCACAGGGUAAUCCAUAUUUUAUCUGUAU